This 385-nucleotide long non-coding RNA is filed under the name Oryzias sinensis (Chinese medaka). RNAcentral's name for it is "lncRNA (ENSOSIG00000020586.1)". Lineage: Eukaryota; Metazoa; Chordata; Actinopteri; Beloniformes; Adrianichthyidae. The record is from RNAcentral.
UUAUGCUACAGAAAAAGUUCCAUACCAAUCAAACACUUGGAACUGUGUAGACUGGCUCCAAAUGGCGAUGCUUGUUUCUCUGGAAAAAAUGGCUUCAUUUCACUUCAGAUCAAUGAAAGAGAGAGGGAGGUGUGUGUGCAUCUCCUGCCACAGCUGUUGAGCUCCCCUCGUACGUGCUCACAUCCGGAGAGACGAGAAGGAGGAGGCGGGGAGGCAGACGUCCGUCCCAGGCUCUGCAGACUCGUGCGUAAUCCGUCUGUUCCCGGAUUCCCUUUAACUUUUCUACAGACUAUUCUCUUUUCCUUUUUCGUGCUCCGAGUGUUUGGAAUGACCAGCUUUCCUGCCUGCGUCGUUUCCAUGUCAGCAUGGGAACUGCCGCGUCCAG